GACGAACGCUGGCGGCGUGCCUAAUACAUGCAAGUCGAGCGAAUGGACUAAGAGCUUGCUCUUAUGAAGUUAGCGGCGGACGGGUGAGUAACACGUGGGUAACCUGCCCAUAAGACUAGGAUAACUCCGGGAAACCGGGGCUAAUACCGGAUAACAUUUUGAACCGCAUGGUUCGAAAUUGAAAGGCGGCUUCGGCUGUCACUUAUGGAUGGACCCGCGUCGCAUUAGCUAGUUGGUGAGGUAACGGCUCACCAAGGCAACGAUGCGUAGCCGACCUGAGAGGGUGAUCGGCCACACUGGGACUGAGACACGGCCCAGACUCCUACGGGAGGCAGCAGUAGGGAAUCUUCCGCAAUGGACGAAAGUCUGACGGAGCGACGCCGCGUGAGUGAUGAAGGCUUUCGGGUCGUAAAACUCUGUUGUUAGGGAAGAACAAGUGCUAGUUGAAUAAGCUGGCACCUUGACGGUACCUAACCAGAAAGCCACGGCUAACUACGUGCCAGCCGCCGCAGUAA
Molecule: ribosomal RNA, 515 nt
Filed under: uncultured bacterium
Lineage: Bacteria
Description: partial 16S ribosomal RNA
Rfam family: Bacterial small subunit ribosomal RNA
Source: RNAcentral